UGGGGAAUAUUGCACAAUGGGCGCAAGCCUGAUGCAGCCAUGCCGCGUGUAUGAAGAAUGCCUUCGGGUUGUAAAGUACUUUCAGCGGGGAGGAAGGGAGUAAAGUUAAUACCUUUGCUCAUUGACGUUACCCGCAGAAGAAGCACCGGCUAACUCCGUGCCAGCAGCCGCGGUAAUACGGAGGGUGCAAGCGUUAAUCGGAAUUACUGGGCGUAAAGCGCACGCAGGCGGUUUGUUAAGUCAGAUGUGAAAUCCCCGGGCUCAACCUGGGAACUGCAUCUGAUACUGGCAAGCUUGAGUCUCGUAGAGGGGGGUAGAAUUCCAGGUGUAGCGGUGAAAUGCGUAGAGAUCUGGAGGAAUACCGGUGGCGAAGGCGGCCCCCUGGACAAAGACUGACGCUCAGGUGCGAAAGCGUGGGGAGCAAACAGG
This 429-nucleotide ribosomal RNA is filed under the name Chloroflexota bacterium. Its description in RNAcentral is "Chloroflexi bacterium partial 16S ribosomal RNA". It matches the Rfam family "Bacterial small subunit ribosomal RNA", at positions 355 to 776 of the family's 1533-position model. Lineage: Bacteria; Bacillati; Chloroflexota. The record is from RNAcentral.